GGGUAGCUGAGUUGGUGAAGCGCUUGUAGCUAUUUGCUCAGUACUGAAUAUCGAUGGUUCGAAUCCAUCCCGAAGCA
Rhamnusium bicolor is the source of this 77-nucleotide non-coding RNA. Lineage: Eukaryota; Metazoa; Arthropoda; Insecta; Coleoptera; Cerambycidae. The record is from the annotation of a GenBank genome assembly.